This is a long non-coding RNA of Sycon ciliatum, 1520 nucleotides long. RefSeq lists it as uncharacterized. The record is from RefSeq and is a predicted model, not a curated record. The transcript is spliced from 3 exons. Lineage: Eukaryota; Metazoa; Porifera; Calcarea; Leucosolenida; Sycettidae.
UGUAUGAGCUGUUUCGGAUAUUUCGACUCCUGGCCUGGCUUAUUUCGUUUCGGCGCUGCUGAGACCUCCUUUCGCGGAAUAUUACUGACAGUGUACGAAGAACGCGAGUUCACCUUCUUGACGAAAAUCGUGGACUACCAGUUUGAAGUCAUUGAACUACUUCCAAAAGUUGUAUCGACAUCAACAGGAUUACGAUUUCAGUGCAAUAUGAUGCAGGAUGACCUUAUCACGAUAACCCAUGAUUAUAAACCAUUAUCGCCUUCUUAGUAUUUGACCCCACUAAUUUCCCUGAUACCUAAGCGGUCAAAUAUAUCGCGUAUUUGACUGCUUAGUCAAAUACACGAUAUAUUUGACUACUUAUAUUUGACUCCUUAGAACUUCUUGGACUUAGAAAUUUUCUCUUCAACUUAGAAAAAGAAAUUUUUGAAGAAAGCAUUAAUACACAAGAUGGGAUUUGAACUCACAACCUUGUGAAUCUCAGUCACUCUUCCUCACCACCCAGCCACUGUGUUACCGAUGCUGAACCUAGUUUAAACAAUAAUCUUGACUUUCAAUGCAGUACAAUGUGGUAUAGGUUAUAGUAUAAUACUAGAAUUACAAGGAUUAUGUUGUAUAUGAAGAGAAACUAUUGCGUGGAGAACACGAUAAAUAGAUUAUAGACCUCAUAGUUGGUCUAUACAGGAUAUAUAGACCUCGUAAAAGACCUCGGGGGACCUCGGUCUUUUACUCGGUCUAUAUAUCCUGUAUAGACCUCCUAACCGGUCUAUAAUCUAUACUUAUAAACACAGAAUCAACAAAAACAUCUGCGACAAGUACCUGGUUACAUUUCUCAAAUAAAUCUGAUCGAGGGUGGGGAAAUCUGAAAUAUCUGAAAGGCAAGACAAUUUUAUGACAGAGUCAUGAAAUUCUGCUACAGCAACAUGCACAGAAUGACCUCCGUAUAAAAAAAGUAUCACCACUGUCCACCACUACACUCACAUGUAUCCCCGCAGAAGAACAUGCUAGUGCCAUUUUCUGCAAGAAAAGGCUUGCACAUCAAUGCGUAUGAUACGGUGUAAUUGACAUGAUGUGAAGGCCAUCAUUUACAUAAUUAUUGAUAUAGGGCAUUCCAUUGGUGACAGAAAAAACAAAAGAAAUUAUAGCAAUAAAAACUGCUUUAUGGCAGUUUUCUAAAAAAAGUUAUUGUGUUCUAGUCCAUGGACCCCGUCUAAAAAGUAAGAAAUUAACGAAAUGUGAUAGCCGAAAAUUAAAAUUUCACACAAAACCUCACAAUAAUCACAUACAGAAUGAAAAGCUACAUGCAGAAGACCUGUAAAAAGGCCCUAGGCCUGUGGGACUGCCGUAUUCAAAAUUUAAUAAUAAUAAUAAUAAUAAGACCUUUUCCCCUCGUGAUCCUCUUUCCUAUGCAUGCAUGACAUGCAUGUUGCCAAUUGUUGUGCGGUACAAGUUUAGUGUUGAAAGCAGCAUUUCAAGUGUUGUGAUUAUUGUGAGGUUUUGUGUGAAAUUUUAAUUUUCGGCUA